Dermatophagoides pteronyssinus (European house dust mite) is the source of this 72-nucleotide non-coding RNA. The record is from the annotation of a RefSeq genome assembly. NCBI's taxonomy places the organism in Eukaryota, Metazoa, Arthropoda, Arachnida, Sarcoptiformes, Pyroglyphidae.
GCCUACAUCGUCUAAUGGCUAGGACAGAACGUUGUGGCCGUUCAAAUCCAGGUUCGAUUCCUGGUGUAGGCA